This 253-nucleotide ribosomal RNA is filed under the name uncultured bacterium. Its description in RNAcentral is "partial 16S ribosomal RNA". It matches the Rfam family "Bacterial small subunit ribosomal RNA", at positions 524 to 776 of the family's 1533-position model. The record is from RNAcentral.
UACGUAGGGCGCAAGCGUUGUCCGGAAUUAUUGGGCGUAAAGAGCUCGUAGGCGGCCUGUUGCGUCCGCUGUGAAAUCCCGGGGCUUAACCCCGGGCCUGCAGUGGAUACGGGCAGGCUGGAGGCAGGCAGGGGAGAACGGAAUUCCCGGUGUAGCGGUGAAAUGCGCAGAUAUCGGGAAGAACACCAGUGGCGAAAGCGCUCUACUGGGCCAUAACUGACACUGAGGGACGAAAGCUAGGGGAGCGAAAGGG